RNAcentral lists this long non-coding RNA (821 nucleotides) under Brassica napus (rape). RNAcentral describes it as "long non-coding RNA (BNAP_LNC025240)". The record is from RNAcentral. Lineage: Eukaryota; Viridiplantae; Streptophyta; Magnoliopsida; Brassicales; Brassicaceae.
UACACUAUAUUUGAUUUUUUAAAACAUACGUAAAUUGACUAAAUCAUACAAUUUAAGUCAUUAGUAUUAUCAUAUAUUUUGUCAUCUUUGAGGAUACAAUAGUGAAGUGACUUUAGAAUUUGAUGUUGUUUGUGCUCUAAACUUUUUUUGGUAAAAAAUGUUAAGAUUUCAUUACAAGUUUUCAAAUUUUUUACAGAAUUACAAGGAGAACAAGUAACAGAACAAAAGAAAACAUACUAACACAAACAUACUAACACAAACUCAGACUUAAGGAAACAAAGAUUGACUACAAGCAAAUCCGCAGCACACAAAAGGAUACAGCGGAGAGUAACAGUCGCCUGCCGUAGAAUCGACCCACAGUGAUUGCAAGAACUGGACCCGGUAGAGUUUGGCGUACUCCACUCCUUGACCAUGCUUCCCUGGAGAUCCGAGACUUACACGCCAGAUCAAGACCGCGCGGUGGCGCAAGGAACAGAGCACCGAAAAAGAAAACGGAGAAAAGGAGGUAGAGGAAAGGCGAGGGGAAAGAAAAGAAGAGAGAGAGGUGGGCGACCAGCGAGAGGAAGCGGAGGAGCGCCGCCGGCCACUCUAACGAAGGGAUUUAGGGUUUCUUUUCUUUGAGAGGUUUCUUAGAUAGAGGAAAUAAGAGAGAGGUUUGUUUUCCUUUGUGUUCUAAACUUUUGUCUUUGAAUUUGGUUUUGGUUAUUCUGGAUCAAUUUUACAAUACAUUUUGAUUAUUUUUUAUAAACAUAUUUCUACGUUUUCCAUUAGAGAUAUAAGGCUGUCGGUGGGGUUGUUAAAAAUUAUUAUGCCUUUUUGAA